GAAUUCACUAGUGAUUAGAGUUUGAUCCUGGCUCAGGAUGAACGCUGGCGGCGUGCUUAACACAUGCAAGUCGAACGGGAGCUUCGGCUCCAGUGGCGGACGGGUGAGUAACGCGUGAGAAUCUGCCUUCAGGAGAGGGAUAACAGUUGGAAACGACUGCUAAUACCCCAUAUGCCGAGAGGUGAAACGUAAUUCGCCUGAAGAUGAGCUCGCGUCUGAUUAGCUAGUUGGUGGGGUAAGAGCCUACCAAGGCGACGAUCAGUAGCUGGUCUGAGAGGAUGAUCAGCCACACUGGGACUGAGACACGGCCCAGACUCCUACGGGAGGCAGCAGUGGGGAAUUUUCCGCAAUGGGCGAAAGCCUGACGGAGCAACGCCGCGUGGGGGAGGAAUGCCUGUGGGUUGUAAACCCCUUUUCUCAGGGAAGAAGAUCUGACGGUACCUGAGGAAUCAGCAUCGGCUAACUCCGUGCCAGCAGCCGCGGUAAUACGGAGGAUGCAAGCGUUAUCCGGAAUCAUUGGGCGUAAAGCGUCCGCAGGUGGCUAUCCAAGUCUGCUGUUAAAGCGCAGGGCUCAACUCUGUAACGGCAGUGGAAACUGGAUGGCUAGAGUACGGUAGGGGCAGAGGGAAUUCCCAGUGUAGCGGUGAAAUGCGUAGAUAUUGGGAAGAACACCAGUGGCGAAGGCGCUCUGCUGGGCCGUAACUGACACUCAUGGACGAAAGCUAGGGGAGCGAAAGGGAUUAGAUACCCCUGUAGUCCUAGCUGUAAACGAUGAC
Molecule: ribosomal RNA, 776 nt
Filed under: uncultured Plectonema sp.
Lineage: Bacteria; Bacillati; Cyanobacteriota; Cyanophyceae; Oscillatoriales; Microcoleaceae
Description: partial 16S ribosomal RNA
Rfam family: Bacterial small subunit ribosomal RNA
Source: RNAcentral